This is a long non-coding RNA of Acyrthosiphon pisum (pea aphid), 463 nucleotides long. RefSeq lists it as uncharacterized. The record is from RefSeq and is a predicted model, not a curated record. The transcript is spliced from 2 exons. NCBI's taxonomy places the organism in Eukaryota, Metazoa, Arthropoda, Insecta, Hemiptera, Aphididae.
AUUAUAUGAAAACAGAUUGUGCACUUAGAUGUAAACAAAAAAUGGCCUGAUUCUGGUCUCCGCCAGAAUCAAUGUGACCAUUUCAACAGAUUGAAAUUACUUGAAAUGUAUCGUAUACUUGUGGCUUACCUGAUAGUGAUAUCCGAGUAUCCGACAAACAAAAUAUAUUGUUAUCAACACUCUGAUACUUUAUAUCUGAUAGUCUGAUGUUUGGUUUUCACUUUUCACGUGUUUUUGGCGUUUGACGUUUUACGAUUUUUGGUGUUUGCUUAAAUAAAAUAGUUUUUUUUUUGUAAUAUUUUAUAUUUAUACUGUCAUAUUUAUUUUAAAAAAUGACUACUUGUGCAGUCAAGUUUUGCGACAAUAAAAUGUCACUAACGAAAAAUAUAAGCUACUUCAGAUUUCCAAGCGACCCAUUGAGGUGUAAACAAUGGAUGGAAAAAUGUCAAACUGAACAUUUACU